Molecule: long non-coding RNA, 661 nt
Organism: Zea mays
Lineage: Eukaryota; Viridiplantae; Streptophyta; Magnoliopsida; Poales; Poaceae
Exons: 2
Source: RefSeq, a predicted model, not a curated record
UACAUACAGAUACAAGAAUGCCCGAUCACCAGCUGCAUUAGCCAUUGGUAACCUGAAGACCAAGAGCUCCCCGAGCAGGCAGAGGCCACGCGCACGGUCGGUCAUGGCGGCGGAUGCGGCCUCCUUCCUGCUCCAGCUUCUGUGGGAGGUGCUGUUGUGCUGUUGCCCCCGCCGGCCAGGUCAAGAUGCAGCGCCCAGCCAAGGUGACAUGCGCGAGAGUACUCCUACGGAGCAACCGGUGGACGACGUGGUCCAGUUGCAGCGAGAUCUUACAAGCCCCAGCUCCCCAUCCCAACCCAAGGAAACAGACAAACAAUUCAGGCAUCACGGCCAACCACCGACUGCGCAUGGCGGUGGUGGCAGCCAUCACCACUGAAAACUGAAAGGGGGGACAUAUACAUACUGAAGGAUCUGUGGUAGUGAAGUUGUUGGACGGCAAUUAAGGAAGACGACACAUGUUGCUAAUCACAAUGGAGGUUUCAUGAGUUGUUUCAUGUAUUAAUUAGUCUGCCACAUCAGCUAUUUGGAUGAUAUGUCACAUCAUUUAAGAAGGGAGAGUUUUAUGGAGUUUCAUGGGGAUGAAACCAUGUUAACUCGUUUCUAAGGUCUUAGAAACUGUGUGAAAUCUCCACUGAAAGUAUUUUGUUUCAUCUUCAUAUAA